AUAAGUUUAAUCGUUUAUCGAGAAACCGCGAACGGCUCAUUACAAUGGCCAUUAUUUACUUGAUCUUGAUUGUCUAAAUGGAUAACUGUGGAAAAGCUAGAGCUAAUACAUGCACUAAAGCUUUGUCCUUACGGAAAAGCGCAUUUAUUAGAACAAAACCACGCGGCUUCGGCUGCUUCUUGUUGACUCAGAAUAACUUAGCUGACCGCAUGGCCUUGUGCCGGCGGCGUGUCUUUCAAGCGUCCACUUUAUCAACUUGACGGGAGCAUAAUCGACUCCCGUGGUGGUGACGGAUAACGGAGGAUCAGGGUUCGACUCCGGAGAAGGGGCCUGAGAAAUGGCCACUACGUCUAAGGAUGGCAGCAGGCGCGCAAAUUACCCACUCUCGGCUCCAGGAGGUAGUGACGAGAAAUAACGAGACUGUUCUCUUUGAGGCCGGUCAUCGGAAUGGGUACAAUUUAAACCCUUUAACGAGUAUCAAGCAGAGGGCAAGUCUGGUGCCAGCAGCCGCGGUAAUUCCAGCUCUGCAAAUACAUAGAAUUAUUGCUGCGGUUAGAAAGCUCAUAGUUGGAUUCGUAUCGAUACCUUGGAACCCUUCGGGUGUCUCUAGGUGUUAUCGAUUUAUCGUAAUGUUCGGUUUUGAGUCCUUAACAGGAUUCUUAACAGGCAUUGCAAGUUUACUUUGAACAAAUCAGAGUGCUUCAAACAGGCGUUUUCGCUUGAAUGAUCGUGCAUGGAAUAAUAGAAAAUGAUUUCGGUUCAGUUUUAUUGGUUUUACGGACUGAGAUAAUGGUUAACAGAGACAAACGGGGGCAUUUGUAUGGUCCCGUGAGAGGUGAAAUUCUUGGACCGUGGCCAGACAAACUACAGCGAAAGCAUUUGCCAAGAAUGUUUUUAUUAAUCAAGAACGAAAGUCAGAGGUUCGAAGGCGAUCAGAUACCGCCCUAGUUCUGACCGUAAACGAUGCCAACUAGCGAUCCGCCGAUGGAAAUUAUAUUGCCUUGGUGGGGAGCUUCCCGGAAACGAAAGUCUUCCGGUUCCGGGGGAAGUAUGGUUGCAAAGCUGAAACUUAAAGGAAUUGACGGAAGGGCACCACCAGGAGUGGAGCCUGCGGCUUAAUUUGACUCAACACGGGGAAACUCACCCGGCCCGGACACUGUGAGGAUUGACAGAUUGAUAGCUUUUUCAUGAUUCAGUGGAUGGUGGUGCAUGGCCGUUCUUAGUUCGUGGAGUGAUUUGUCUGGUUUAUUCCGAUAACGAGCGAGACUCUAACCUACUAAAUAGUUGGUACAUACUCUUAGUGUAUACAGCUUCUUAGAGGGAUUUGCGGCGUUCAGCCGAAAGAAAUUGAGCAAUAACAGGUCUGUGAUGCCCUUAGAUGUCCGGGGCUGCACGCGCGCUACACUGGCAAAAUCAACGUGCUUGUCCUACCCUGAAAGGGGCGGGUAAACCAUUGAAAAUUUGCCGUGAUUGGGAUCGGAAAUUGCAAUUAUUUUCCGUGAACGAGGAAUUCCAAGUAAGUGCGAGUCAUCAGCUCGCGUUGAUUACGUCCCUGCCCUUUGUACACACCGCCCGUCGCUGCCCGGGACUGAGCCAUUUCGAGAAAUUUGGGGACCGUUGAUUUAAUUUUUCUAAAUUACUUUGAUGGAAACCAAUUUA
Molecule: ribosomal RNA, 1659 nt
Filed under: Meloidogyne sp. 40
Lineage: Eukaryota; Metazoa; Nematoda; Chromadorea; Rhabditida; Meloidogynidae
Description: SSU rRNA
Rfam family: Eukaryotic small subunit ribosomal RNA
Source: RNAcentral